This 434-nucleotide ribosomal RNA is filed under the name uncultured bacterium. RNAcentral describes it as "partial 16S ribosomal RNA". It matches the Rfam family "Bacterial small subunit ribosomal RNA", at positions 29 to 507 of the family's 1533-position model. The record is from RNAcentral.
AGCGAACGCUGGCGGCAGGCCUAACACAUGCAAGUCGAACGAACCUUUCGGGGUUAGUGGCGGACGGGUGAGUAACACGUGGGAACGUGCCUUUAGGUUCGGAAUAACUCAGGGAAACUUGUGCUAAUACCGAAUGUGCCCUUCGGGGGAAAGAUUUAUCGCCUUUAGAGCGGCCUGAGUCUGAUUAGCUAGUUGGUUGAGGUAAUGGCUCACCAAGGCGACGAUCAGUAGCUGGUCUGAGAGGAUGAUCAGCCACAUUGGGACUGAGACACGGCCCAAACUCCUACGGGAGGCAGCAGUGGGGAAUCUUGCGAAAUGGGCGAAGGCCUGACGCAGCCAUGCCGCGUGAAUGAUGAAGGUCUUAGGAUUGUAAAAUUCUUUCACCGGGGGCGAUAAUGACGGUACCCGGAGAAGAAGCCCCGGCUAACUUCGUG